Non-coding RNA from Pelobates cultripes (western spadefoot toad), 305 nucleotides. The record is from the annotation of a GenBank genome assembly. NCBI's taxonomy places the organism in Eukaryota, Metazoa, Chordata, Amphibia, Anura, Pelobatidae.
UUUAUAUUAUGUCUGUCACAUAGUGUGACAGUUAUUAAUUUAUUUUGUAUUGAGUUAAUUACCUGUCCAAGAAUAUGCUUUUUGUAUUGGCAUGUCUGCUGGAUAUCUGUUAAUUUUGUUGUGUUCUGUGUUAUAAGACAUGUGUGAUAUUACAAUGAGUAUGAAGAAUAUUUAAAGAAUAUUUGCAUGUCAUUAAAGCAAGCCUUUAGUGUCUUUUUACAACAGAUUUAAAAAAAAAAAACGCUGAUCAGCCAACAAGAAAGGGAAAGAAAAAGAAAAAAUAUAUCAUUUGCUUUUCAAAAUCA